This 75-nucleotide transfer RNA is filed under the name Chloroflexota bacterium. Its description in RNAcentral is "Chloroflexi bacterium tRNA-Thr". It matches the Rfam family "tRNA". From Rfam's summary of the family: Transfer RNA (tRNA) molecules are approximately 80 nucleotides in length. Their secondary structure includes four short double-helical elements and three loops (D, anti-codon, and T loops). Further hydrogen bonds mediate the characteristic L-shaped molecular structure. tRNAs have two regions of fundamental functional importance: the anti-codon, which is responsible for specific mRNA codon recognition, and the 3' end, to which the tRNAs corresponding amino acid is attached (by aminoacyl-tRNA synthetases). tRNAs cope with the degeneracy of the genetic code in two manners: having more than one tRNA (with a specific anti-codon) for a particular amino acid; and 'wobble' base-pairing, i.e. permitting non-standard base-pairing at the 3rd anti-codon position. The record is from RNAcentral. RNAcentral also lists the same sequence under 1 other name. Lineage: Bacteria; Bacillati; Chloroflexota.
GCCACCGUAGCUCAGCGGUAGAGCACUCGAUUCGUAAUCGAGCGGUCGUCGGUUCAAUUCCGACCGGUGGCUCCG